CUGCACGAAUAAUAGAUGUGAACAAAUUAUCAUAAAUGUGAUGUUUGUGUUUCAUGCAGUCAGUUUCAUGUCUGUGCUGUUUAUCAGAAUUGAGUACUGAGGUAGUCAUCAACACCAACAAGUUUUGCUUGCCGGUAUAAAAAUUGUUAUGAGCAGCAGUCACAGCUUCAUCGAUGUGGUAAAUAGGAUCCCGUUCGAUGGCGAAUCCACCGAUGUCGGGCUAUACCCCUUUUCCUCGUGUACAAUCAUGUGUUUGGGAACGCAUU
This is a long non-coding RNA of Daphnia pulicaria, 266 nucleotides long. RefSeq lists it as uncharacterized. The transcript has 3 exons. NCBI's taxonomy places the organism in Eukaryota, Metazoa, Arthropoda, Branchiopoda, Diplostraca, Daphniidae. The record is from RefSeq and is a predicted model, not a curated record.